CCAGUUGACACUUACUUUGACAAAGGCAAAUUUGGAAGCAAUUACUUGAGGACAGUUCAUAUAGCAUCUGGACAGUCAACACGGGCACCAUGAAGCACUUCCUGAGGCAAUCUCCUGUAGGUGACCUUCCCAGAGCCUGCCCAUUGCCCUCAAGCUGUUGUCCGAGAUCCUCUGGGAGCUGGAUCACGUACAUCCCAGCUCUCCGGCCCCUUGGCUUUCCCUCAGCUUUUCAGGGCCAACUCUUUGGCCACUUCACUGUUUGUUAAGCUCUUCCCACAGAGCAUGAGCAAUAUAACCGAAAGCCAUGGGCACUCAAUAAAUGUUAGUUUUAAUUUCAUUCAUUUACUCCUUGGAAUUUUCACUUUUGUACUGAAGUGAGGAAAGCACGCUGAUUUUCCAGGCUGUUCUGGCUGUCCCUGUGGGAUGGUGGAGUUGGCUUUCCUGUCCAACCUGAGAGGAACUUACUGUCUCUCUCUCCUCUGCCUCUCCAACACCCUGGGUGUUUUUCUUUUAUAGAAUUGUCACACUGUUUUUCAACUUUCGGUUUUUACUGUCCUUUUCCUUGCUAGACUAUAAGCUCCUUGUGGACAGGGAGGUCAUAUGGCUUGCUGGGAAAAUAAGUUCUUGACUCAUGGUCACUUUUUCCACUGCCAUAUCUCCCACUCUCAUUUCUUCUGUACUGCACGGUCAGU
RNAcentral lists this small RNA (692 nucleotides) under Pongo abelii (Sumatran orangutan). RNAcentral describes it as "processed transcript". Lineage: Eukaryota; Metazoa; Chordata; Mammalia; Primates; Hominidae. The record is from RNAcentral.